RNAcentral lists this ribosomal RNA (2902 nucleotides) under Escherichia coli PCN033. Its description in RNAcentral is "bacterial LSU rRNA". It matches the Rfam family "Bacterial large subunit ribosomal RNA". Lineage: Bacteria; Pseudomonadati; Pseudomonadota; Gammaproteobacteria; Enterobacterales; Enterobacteriaceae. The record is from RNAcentral.
UAAGCGACUAAGCGUACACGGUGGAUGCCCUGGCAGUCAGAGGCGAUGAAGGACGUGCUAAUCUGCGAUAAGCGUCGGUAAGGUGAUAUGAACCGUUAUAACCGGCGAUUUCCGAAUGGGGAAACCCAGUGUGUUUCGACACACUAUCAUUAACUGAAUCCAUAGGUUAAUGAGGCGAACCGGGGGAACUGAAACAUCUAAGUACCCCGAGGAAAAGAAAUCAACCGAGAUUCCCCCAGUAGCGGCGAGCGAACGGGGAGCAGCCCAGAGCCUGAAUCAGUGUGUGUGUUAGUGGAAGCGUCUGGAAAGGCGCGCGAUACAGGGUGACAGCCCCGUACACAAAAAUGCACAUAUUGUGAGCUCGAUGAGUAGGGCGGGACACGUGGUAUCCUGUCUGAAUAUGGGGGGACCAUCCUCCAAGGCUAAAUACUCCUGACUGACCGAUAGUGAACCAGUACCGUGAGGGAAAGGCGAAAAGAACCCCGGCGAGGGGAGUGAAAAAGAACCUGAAACCGUGUACGUACAAGCAGUGGGAGCCUCUUUAUGGGGUGACUGCGUACCUUUUGUAUAAUGGGUCAGCGACUUAUAUUCUGUAGCAAGGUUAACCGAAUAGGGGAGCCGAAGGGAAACCGAGUCUUAACUGGGCGUUAAGUUGCAGGGUAUAGACCCGAAACCCGGUGAUCUAGCCAUGGGCAGGUUGAAGGUUGGGUAACACUAACUGGAGGACCGAACCGACUAAUGUUGAAAAAUUAGCGGAUGACUUGUGGCUGGGGGUGAAAGGCCAAUCAAACCGGGAGAUAGCUGGUUCUCCCCGAAAGCUAUUUAGGUAGCGCCUCGUGAAUUCAUCUCCGGGGGUAGAGCACUGUUUCGGCAAGGGGGUCAUCCCGACUUACCAACCCGAUGCAAACUGCGAAUACCGGAGAAUGUUAUCACGGGAGACACACGGCGGGUGCUAACGUCCGUCGUGAAGAGGGAAACAACCCAGACCGCCAGCUAAGGUCCCAAAGUCAUGGUUAAGUGGGAAACGAUGUGGGAAGGCCCAGACAGCCAGGAUGUUGGCUUAGAAGCAGCCAUCAUUUAAAGAAAGCGUAAUAGCUCACUGGUCGAGUCGGCCUGCGCGGAAGAUGUAACGGGGCUAAACCAUGCACCGAAGCUGCGGCAGCGACACUAUGUGUUGUUGGGUAGGGGAGCGUUCUGUAAGCCUGUGAAGGUGUGCUGUGAGGUAUGCUGGAGGUAUCAGAAGUGCGAAUGCUGACAUAAGUAACGAUAAAGCGGGUGAAAAGCCCGCUCGCCGGAAGACCAAGGGUUCCUGUCCAACGUUAAUCGGGGCAGGGUGAGUCGACCCCUAAGGCGAGGCCGAAAGGCGUAGUCGAUGGGAAACAGGUUAAUAUUCCUGUACUUGGUGUUACUGCGAAGGGGGGACGGAGAAGGCUAUGUUGGCCGGGCGACGGUUGUCCCGGUUUAAGCGUGUAGGCUGGUUUUCCAGGCAAAUCCGGAAAAUCAAGGCUGAGGCGUGAUGACGAGGCACUACGGUGCUGAAGCAACAAAUGCCCUGCUUCCAGGAAAAGCCUCUAAGCAUCAGGUAACAUCAAAUCGUACCCCAAACCGACACAGGUGGUCAGGUAGAGAAUACCAAGGCGCUUGAGAGAACUCGGGUGAAGGAACUAGGCAAAAUGGUGCCGUAACUUCGGGAGAAGGCACGCUGAUAUGUAGGUGAAGUCCCUUGCGGAUGGAGCUGAAAUCAGUCGAAGAUACCAGCUGGCUGCAACUGUUUAUUAAAAACACAGCACUGUGCAAACACGAAAGUGGACGUAUACGGUGUGACGCCUGCCCGGUGCCGGAAGGUUAAUUGAUGGGGUUAGCGGUAACGCGAAGCUCUUGAUCGAAGCCCCGGUAAACGGCGGCCGUAACUAUAACGGUCCUAAGGUAGCGAAAUUCCUUGUCGGGUAAGUUCCGACCUGCACGAAUGGCGUAAUGAUGGCCAGGCUGUCUCCACCCGAGACUCAGUGAAAUUGAACUCGCUGUGAAGAUGCAGUGUACCCGCGGCAAGACGGAAAGACCCCGUGAACCUUUACUAUAGCUUGACACUGAACAUUGAGCCUUGAUGUGUAGGAUAGGUGGGAGGCUUUGAAGUGUGGACGCCAGUCUGCAUGGAGCCGACCUUGAAAUACCACCCUUUAAUGUUUGAUGUUCUAACGUUGGCCCCUAAUCGGGGUUGCGGACAGUGUCUGGUGGGUAGUUUGACUGGGGCGGUCUCCUCCUAAAGAGUAACGGAGGAGCACGAAGGUUGGCUAAUCCUGGUCGGACAUCAGGAGGUUAGUGCAAUGGCAUAAGCCAGCUUGACUGCGAGCGUGACGGCGCGAGCAGGUGCGAAAGCAGGUCAUAGUGAUCCGGUGGUUCUGAAUGGAAGGGCCAUCGCUCAACGGAUAAAAGGUACUCCGGGGAUAACAGGCUGAUACCGCCCAAGAGUUCAUAUCGACGGCGGUGUUUGGCACCUCGAUGUCGGCUCAUCACAUCCUGGGGCUGAAGUAGGUCCCAAGGGUAUGGCUGUUCGCCAUUUAAAGUGGUACGCGAGCUGGGUUUAGAACGUCGUGAGACAGUUCGGUCCCUAUCUGCCGUGGGCGCUGGAGAACUGAGGGGGGCUGCUCCUAGUACGAGAGGACCGGAGUGGACGCAUCACUGGUGUUCGGGUUGUCAUGCCAAUGGCACUGCCCGGUAGCUAAAUGCGGAAGAGAUAAGUGCUGAAAGCAUCUAAGCACGAAACUUGCCCCGAGAUGAGUUCUCCCUGACCCUUUAAGGGUCCUGAAGGAACGUUGAAGACGACGACGUUGAUAGGCCGGGUGUGUAAGCGCAGCGAUGCGUUGAGCUAACCGGUACUAAUGAACCGUGAGGCUUAACCUUA